Molecule: transfer RNA, 71 nt
Filed under: Amphiamblys sp. WSBS2006
Lineage: Eukaryota; Fungi; Microsporidia; Amphiacanthidae
Rfam family: tRNA
About the family: Transfer RNA (tRNA) molecules are approximately 80 nucleotides in length. Their secondary structure includes four short double-helical elements and three loops (D, anti-codon, and T loops).
Source: Rfam by way of RNAcentral
GCGCUAUUAGUUUAGUGGUAAAAUAGCUGCUUCCCAAGCAGCUGUCCCGGGUUCGAUUCCCGGAUGGCGCA